CUGGAACACUUACCCUCUGUAUUUCAGCAGCACCAAAGGGUGCGUUGUGGAGGAUCAGAAUCACUCCUGGAGACCUGAGAGCUGUGACCAGAGAUUGCCCUUCUUCUGCUACAAAAUGGCGAAGUACACUAUAAUGAAGGUGUCUUUCCACUCUGAUCUGAACAUGUCUGACCCAAAGAACUACAGACUGCUCACACAAAAGUUGGAAGAGAGGAUCAACCGAACACGAGUCAAAGUGACAUGGAAGAC
Molecule: long non-coding RNA, 249 nt
Organism: Periophthalmus magnuspinnatus
Lineage: Eukaryota; Metazoa; Chordata; Actinopteri; Gobiiformes; Gobiidae
Exons: 3
Source: RefSeq, a predicted model, not a curated record